GAUGAACGCUGGCGGCGUGCUUAACACAUGCAAGUCGAACGAGAAUCAACGGAUUGAGGAUUCGUCCAAAUGAAGUUGAGGAAAGUGGCGGACGGGUGAGUAACGCGUGAGGAACCUGCCUCGGAGUGGGGGAAUAACAGUUGGAAACAGCUGCUAAUACCGCAUAAUGCAACGAAAUCGCAUGACUUUGUUGCCAAAGAUUUAUCGCUCUGAGAUGGCCUCGCGUCUGAUUAGCUAGUUGGCGGGGUAACGGCCCACCAAGGCUAUGAUCAGUAGCUGGUUUGAGAGGAUGAUCAGCCACAAUGGGACUGAGACACGGCCCAU
This 324-nucleotide ribosomal RNA is filed under the name uncultured bacterium. Its description in RNAcentral is "bacterial SSU rRNA". It matches the Rfam family "Bacterial small subunit ribosomal RNA", at positions 28 to 334 of the family's 1533-position model. The record is from RNAcentral.